CACGUAGGGUGCAAGCGUUGUCCGGAAUUAUUGGGCGUAAAGAGCUCGUAGGCGGCCUGUCACGUCGACUGUGAAAACCUAGGGCUCAACCCUGGGCCUGCAGUCGAUACGGGCAGGCUUGAGUGUGGUAGGGGAGACUGGGAUUCCUGGUGUAGCGGUGAAAUGCGCAGAUAUCAGGAGGAACACCGGUGGCUAAGGCGGGUCUCUGGGCCAUUACUGACGCUGAGGAGCGAAAGCGUGGGGAGCGAACAGG
Molecule: ribosomal RNA, 253 nt
Filed under: uncultured bacterium
Lineage: Bacteria
Description: partial 16S ribosomal RNA
Rfam family: Bacterial small subunit ribosomal RNA
Source: RNAcentral